This 84-nucleotide transfer RNA is filed under the name Bacteriophage sp. RNAcentral describes it as "tRNA-Leu". It matches the Rfam family "tRNA". Rfam says of the family: Transfer RNA (tRNA) molecules are approximately 80 nucleotides in length. Their secondary structure includes four short double-helical elements and three loops (D, anti-codon, and T loops). The record is from RNAcentral.
GCGAAUGUGGCGAAAUUUGGUAUACGCGCUUGUCUUAGAAGCAGGUGUCCUAGUGGCGUGUGGGUUCGAUCCCCUCCAUUCGCA